CUGGGUGAGCAUCUAACGGAGGAGGGAAGCGAGUUCCACAGGAACGGUGCAGCCCUCGAGAAAUCUUGAAGGCGAGCAUCAGAGGUGGGAGUACGUACAGAAGAUAGACGUAAGUCUUCAGCAGAUCGUAAGGGCCUAGACGGGACAUACUUGUGUAUAAGGGAGGAUAGAUAGGUGGGAGCAGCAUUAUGUAGAGAUUUGAAGGCAAGAACCAGAAUUUUAAAUUGAGCUCUAUAUUUUAUAGGAAGCCAAUGUAGGGACUGACAGGG
This 269-nucleotide long non-coding RNA is filed under the name Pelobates cultripes (western spadefoot toad). The record is from RNAcentral. Lineage: Eukaryota; Metazoa; Chordata; Amphibia; Anura; Pelobatidae.